Molecule: unclassified non-coding RNA, 295 nt
Filed under: Hevea brasiliensis (rubber tree)
Lineage: Eukaryota; Viridiplantae; Streptophyta; Magnoliopsida; Malpighiales; Euphorbiaceae
Source: RNAcentral
UGGAGAGGAGCAAAUCUGAAGCCAGGGGGAAACCCAAGUGUGGAGAAAAGCUUUUUGUGCAUCGUCAGCAGUUGAGAGAUUAGAUGCCUAAAGGAAUGGCAUCGAUAACGUCUCCUAGAGGUACCCAUGUAGACUCGAUGACCCAAGUGGCUUCUAGCUCUACGACAUGGAAGAAAGUUGCUGACUAACCCUAACUCAUGCACAUAAAGCUAGCCAUAGAUGAGAAGUCCCACCAUCGCUAAGCUUGAGGAACUCAAGAGUCCUCACAAGUGCUAAGAAAACCCUCUCCAUUUUA